GAAUCUCUGAAGUUUUUUCAUGCAAAUAUCAUUGUUCUAAGUAUUCGGUUAAAUGAUUAAAUGUUUAGACAGUACAGCAAUCGCCUGUAUUUCAUACGCCAACACUAUGGCUAAAGACAUAAUGAAAUAGUACAAAAGUUAAAUGAACACAAGAAAUAAAUUUAAGAUUACUUACCCGAAUUUAUGAUUAUGGUUUGCACGAUCGUAUGAAAAGAAAGCAGCACAGCAUAUUGUCGUUCACGCAUUGAUGAUGGCACGAUACGCACGAGGUUUCUAUGAGAGUUCUUUAUGUGUCAAUCAUACACAGACAUACAUUUCUUGGACUUAAUGACGUGGGGUUAGACAUGCAGUGAUUACCAUUCGCACAUGUAAUUUACUAAUCACAAAAUAGAUUUCAAUUUCAAGCACAGUUUGCAAAACUUAAACUAUGCACAUUCUGGUGUAUAAUUAAAUAAAUUUAUCUUGAAAGAGCAAACGGACGUCUCGGGUUUAGUUAUGAAUAUUUUAUUGAUAGUGUAGGCAUUUGAGGUAUGAAAUAAAUGAUUGCAAAAUAUAGCCAAAAAUAUGUAUGUGACUAAUAGCUCUGUAACACAAAAAAAUGUUUUAAGAAAAGUUUUAGUCAAAAAUGACAAUUGGCAAAA
Xenia sp. Carnegie-2017 is the source of this 641-nucleotide long non-coding RNA. RefSeq lists it as uncharacterized. The transcript is spliced from 2 exons. NCBI's taxonomy places the organism in Eukaryota, Metazoa, Cnidaria, Anthozoa, Malacalcyonacea, Xeniidae. The record is from RefSeq and is a predicted model, not a curated record.